Molecule: ribosomal RNA, 431 nt
Filed under: uncultured bacterium
Lineage: Bacteria
Description: partial 16S ribosomal RNA
Rfam family: Bacterial small subunit ribosomal RNA
Source: RNAcentral
CCUACGGGUGGCUGCAGUGGGGAAUAUUGCACAAUGGGCGGAAGCCUGAUGCAGCGACGCCGCGUGAGGGAUGACGGCCUUCGGGUUGUAAACCUCUUUCAGCAGGGACGCGGUACCUGCAGAAGAAGCACCGGCCAACUACGUGCCAGCAGCCGCGGUAAUACGUAGGGUGCAAGCGUUGUCCGGAAUUAUUGGGCGUAAAGAGCUCGUAGGCGGUUUGUCACGUCGGCUGUGAAAACCUGGGGCUCAACCCCGGGCCUGCAGCCGAUACGGGCUGACUAGAAUUCGGUAGGGGAGUCUGGAAUUCCUGGUGUAGCGGUGAAAUGCGCAGAUAUCAGGAGGAACACCGGUGGCGAAGGCGGGACUCUGGGCGAAUUGACGCUGAGGAGCGAAAGCGUGGGGAGCGAACAGGAUUAGAUACCCUUGUAGUC